This 514-nucleotide ribosomal RNA is filed under the name uncultured Glomus. Its description in RNAcentral is "SSU rRNA". It matches the Rfam family "Eukaryotic small subunit ribosomal RNA", at positions 569 to 1086 of the family's 1831-position model. The record is from RNAcentral. Lineage: Eukaryota; Fungi; Glomeromycota; Glomeromycetes; Glomerales; Glomeraceae.
AGCAGCCGCGGUAAUUCCAGCUCCAAUAGCGUAUACUAAAGUUGUUGCAGUUAAAAAGCUCGUAGUUGAAUUUCGGGGUCAGUAGGUUGGUCAUGCCUCCGGUAUGUACUGGUCUCACUGAUUCCUCCUUCCUGAUGAGCCGUAAUGCCAUUAAUUUGGUGUUGCGGGGAAUCUGGACUGUUACUUUGAAAAAAUUAGAGUGUUUAAAGCAAGCUAACGCUUGAAUACAUUAGCAUGGAAUAAUGGAAUAGGACGUUCGAUCCUAUUUGUUGGUUUCUAGGAUUGACGUAAUGAUUAAUAGGGACAGUUGGGGGCAUUAGUAUUCAAUUGUCAGAGGUGAAAUUCUUGGAUUUAUUGAAGACUAACUACUGCGAAAGCAUUUGCCUAAGGAUGUUUUCAUUAAUCAAGAACGAAAGUUAGGGGAUCGAAGACGAUCAGAUACCGUCGUAGUCUUAACCAUAAACUAUGCCGACUAGGGAUCGGAUGAUGUAAUUUUUAAUGACUCAUUCGGACG